UACGGGGGGGGCAAGCGUUGUUCGGAAUUACUGGGCGUAAAGAGCGUGUAGGCGGCCCGAUAAGUCCGCUGUGAAAGUCCAGGGCUCAACCCUGGAAUGCCGGUGGAUACUGUCGGGCUUGAAUCCGGAAGAGGUGAGUGGAAUUCCUGGUGUAGCGGUGAAAUGCGCAGAUAUCAGGAGGAACACCAAUUGCGAAGGCAGCUUGCUACACAGUUAUUGACGCUGAGGCACGAAAGCGUGGGGAUCAAACAGG
This 253-nucleotide ribosomal RNA is filed under the name uncultured bacterium. RNAcentral describes it as "partial 16S ribosomal RNA". It matches the Rfam family "Bacterial small subunit ribosomal RNA", at positions 524 to 776 of the family's 1533-position model. The record is from RNAcentral.